AGCUUUAAUUGCUUCCUGUGGAGUGCCUGCCUCUGUUGAGGGAGAAACCAGGCUUCCAAGCACCACUCCUUAUAGGAUCUGUUUGAAGUGCUUGUGUAGCCCAAAGCACCCUUCCAGGCGAAGACGUGACAGAAAAGCAGAAACAGCCUGUCCAGAGCAUCUGUUUGGGAGGCUUCCGAAACGCGGAUUCCUGCGGAUCUCUGAUUGAAAGCAUCUGGCGGGGACCGGCGUGGACCAAAUCCUGUCACAGACCCAUCUCUUGCAGAAAGCAGAAACAUGCAAACAACCUGAAGAAAAAAAGAAAUGUCUACAUGCCAUUUUCCAUGAAAAAUGGGAAUGUGGGCCCAUCUGUUGCCUGCACUGGUCCAGCUUUCAGGAAAUUCUGCAUAGCUUAUCUCUAGUCCAAAGCUUUUAGGAAAGAAGGGGAUCUGGGAAAGCUGUUUUAAUAGCCAGAAUUACAA
Molecule: long non-coding RNA, 461 nt
Organism: Dromaius novaehollandiae (emu)
Lineage: Eukaryota; Metazoa; Chordata; Aves; Casuariiformes; Dromaiidae
Exons: 3
Source: RefSeq, a predicted model, not a curated record